RNAcentral lists this ribosomal RNA (433 nucleotides) under uncultured bacterium. Its description in RNAcentral is "bacterial SSU rRNA". It matches the Rfam family "Bacterial small subunit ribosomal RNA", at positions 29 to 507 of the family's 1533-position model. The record is from RNAcentral.
AACGAACGCUGGCGGCAUGCCUAACACAUGCAAGUCGAACGAGAUCUUCGGAUCUAGUGGCGCACGGGUGCGUAACGCGUGGGAAUCUGCCCUUGGGUACGGAAUAACUCAGAGAAAUUUGUGCUAAUACCGUAUAAUGUCUUCGGACCAAAGAUUUAUCGCCCAAGGAUGAGCCCGCGUAGGAUUAGCUAGUUGGUGAGGUAAAAGCUCACCAAGGCGACGAUCCUUAGCUGGUCUGAGAGGAUGAUCAGCCACACUGGGACUGAGACACGGCCCAGACUCCUACGGGAGGCAGCAGUGGGGAAUAUUGGACAAUGGACGAAAGCCUGAUCCAGCAAUGCCGCGUGAGUGAUGAAGGCCCUAGGGUUGUAAAGCUCUUUUACCCGGGAUGAUAAUGACAGUACCGGGAGAAUAAGCUCCGGCUAACUUCGUG